GUUGUUGUGGCCAAGUGGUUAAGGUGAUGGACUCGAAAUCCAUUGGGUUUUCACCACUCAGGUUCAAAUCCUGCCAAUAACG
This 82-nucleotide transfer RNA is filed under the name Danionella translucida. It matches the Rfam family "tRNA". Rfam says of the family: Transfer RNA (tRNA) molecules are approximately 80 nucleotides in length. Lineage: Eukaryota; Metazoa; Chordata; Actinopteri; Cypriniformes; Danionidae. RNAcentral also lists the same sequence under 1 other name. The record is from Rfam by way of RNAcentral.